This is an RNA transcript of Rosa rugosa (rugosa rose), 1827 nucleotides long. It is a transcript of the gene named probable LRR receptor-like serine/threonine-protein kinase At1g53420, with no coding region annotated. The transcript is spliced from 7 exons. Lineage: Eukaryota; Viridiplantae; Streptophyta; Magnoliopsida; Rosales; Rosaceae. The record is from RefSeq and is a predicted model, not a curated record.
CCUUAGCCAAAAUUUUAGGUUACUCUCCCUCCCAAAUUGCUCUCGGCCUCCCUCUGACUCAAUAAAAUUUUAGGUCACUCUUCCUGCUCCCAAAUUUCUCUCGGCCUCCCUCAAUCGCGCUCACCCUCGCCAUCGCUCUCAACCUCGCUGACUCAGUAUCGCGCUCCCCCUCACCAUCGCUCUCACCCUUAAUCGCCCUCACCCUCUCAACCUCAUCGACCCUCACUCUCACUCUCAGCGGCUCUCCCGAUCUUAAUCUUUGAGGUUUCCACCACCGUUAGAUCCACCGCCCCCUCCCUCAGAUCUCCUUUGAUCUACUUCAACCAUGGAGGCGAUUGAAGAGUUGUUGCAACUGUCAGACUCGAUGCGCUAAGGCCAGGCCAUCCUCGCCGACGAAGACGUUGACGAAAACUCUACUGCCUCCUCUCACCGCUCCUCAACGUCGUCGGUCUCGGCCAGGGGCGGAUCCAGCCACGGGCUUGGUAGGGCUCAAGCACCACCGGGCUUUUCGGGCUAAAAAAAAAAUUAGGUAUAUAGAUUUUUUUUUUUGGACCAGUCAUCUCGUAUUCUCGUUUCAAGCCCCACAUCUGCGACUUGGAGACUUGGAGCACAAAGCACACCCGGCUCGACGAUCUGCAAGAGUGCAAGGCUGGAAGCCUUAUAACCAGCAACCCGUCUUCAGUUGUCCGGUCUCCGAGCUCCGCGCAGCCUCCAGCAGUCCAGGCUUCCAAGCCGCACCUGCCACCGCCUCCAGCCUUUCGAUCCCCACCAGCAACCCGUCUCCGCGAUUUGCAGACAGUCAAAGACUCAAAAUGAUAUAAUUGCUUGGCCUAUGGAUACUGAUUAACUGAUGGUAUAUUGAUCUUGAUGAAUUGAUGUUUGAUUACUUGAUUUUAAUAAAGUUUGUAACUUUGUAUGAUUCAUGAUUCAUGAGGAGAAAGCCUCAGACCUCAGAAGCAGAGGGCCACAGUUCCUUUGAGAAACUUGAAAAAAAAUAAAGAGACCUCAACUUUAACAAGCUAACUGGAGAAAUUCCAAGCAGCUUUUCUGGACUAGCAAAUGUGGAUUACAUGUAAGCAAUGAAUAACAGAUCUUGAUUCUUUUACUGAUUACUAGGGGAUUUACAAUAAAGGAGCAGAAUGAGGCCUCGUGUAUAAUUAUUGACUGGAAAUAUGCUCACUGGAUCUGUGCCAGAUUGGCUGAAAGGAGACAACAUUGAUCUUUCAUACAACGAUUUCACCACUAAGUCAGCAGCUGUUAGUUGUGAACCACAAGGCGGCUUGUAAGAAUAUCUUUGUUAAGUUAUAUUUUGUUCAUGUUCUGCAGAGAAAACUUUACUUACGAGUAUAUGUUAAUUACUACAGGAACUUGCACUGCAGUUGGUUUAUCAUGUUUUCUUGCUGAUCUUUUUGGACCCUCUAUUGUUCUGUUUGCAGAUCUGUUUCAUGUUUGAAAAUUGCAAAAUGUCCAAAAACUUGGUACUCUCUCCACAUAAAUUGUGGCGGAAAAGAAGCAACUCUCAGUGAAUGGUGUGGGAGAGAAGAAGUAAAACAGCAUAUUCCCAGGUUGAUAUCGAUGUGGUCAGAACUGAGUGGGCAAAGUUUGUGGUUAAAACAUAUAUGUAAGAUUUGUGUUGGUACUUCUUGGAGACCUAGUUCAAAGUUUGUGGUUAUGUUUUGGUUGGACAGGAUCAGUAGCUAGUACUUUGAAUUGAUAUGUAAGAAAUACUUUAACAAUUGGGUACUCUAUUUCUAGUUUCGGUGUGUUUUGGCAAUGUAUGACAAUGAUGUGCUAUAGUAAAUGACAUUUGAACUAAUUUGUGUUUCA